GUAGGUGGCAAGCGUUGUCCGGAAUUAUUGGGCGUAAAGCGCGCGCAGGCGGUUCUUUAAGUCUGAUGUGAAAGCCCACGGCUCAACCGUGGAGGGUCAUUGGAAACUGGAGAACUUGAGUACAGAAGAGGAAAGCGGAAUUCCACGUGUAGCGGUGAAAUGCGUAGAGAUGUGGAGGAACACCAGUGGCGAAGGCGGCUUUCUGGUCUGUAACUGACGCUGAGGCGCGAAAGCGUGGGGAGCAAACAGGGAUUAGAUACCCUGGUAGUCCACGCCGUAAACGAUGAGUGCUAAGUGUUAGGGGGGUUUCCGCCCCCCUUAGUGCUGCAGCUAACGCAUUAAGCACUCCGCCUGGGGGUACGGCCGCAAGGCUG
RNAcentral lists this ribosomal RNA (374 nucleotides) under uncultured organism. RNAcentral's name for it is "partial 16S ribosomal RNA". It matches the Rfam family "Bacterial small subunit ribosomal RNA", at positions 527 to 896 of the family's 1533-position model. The record is from RNAcentral.